AGGAACCUCAGCAUUUGUGCUUUUCACUAAGCUUUUUCAUCAUGGAUAUUCUUGGGCUCAAUAUUAGAUAAAAUUUUGAAUAUUCUUUGUCCUCUUGGCUUUUGAUUAAGAUGUUGAAUAGAUCUUAUUCAAGAAAUGCAGUGCCAUACAGAUUUGUAAACCAUCUCUGAGUAGUAAAUAUGAACAGCAGAACUAGUAGACUUAAAACAAGGCAACACAUAUUAGUAGAAUCCUUCCUUUUUUUCUGAUUCUAUUAUCUUGUAUAUUUUAUUUAAUUUUUUUCAAUAUGUAUAAUUAUAUAUAUUUUUGUACUUUUUCCCCUUUUUUUUUCUGAGGUCAAGGCCAAGUUUAUUCUCAAUAGAACAUCCUACUUGAAGCACAAAUAUUUCCAAACUAUGAAACAACAGAUAUUGCCUUACAACUCAAGAUGUUGAGUAUUGAUAACUAAUCAACUACUAGCCUGGAAGAUAAAAGCCAAAGCUGUAAACAGACAGGCCAGCUUAACAAGCGCACAUUCUCUGCUGCCAACAGUACCAAUUUGUCAUCCAAGCAACAAAUAUUCCUUGGUAAUCUGCUAUCAGAUGACAGUUAUCUCUUUGGCAUUUUUAUGAAUUAAAGCUUUCAAGGCCAAACUUCAGAUUUGUUUAGCAUAUUCCUGUACUACAUAUCAAAAAAUGUUUGAUGGUCUGUCUGGUUCAUCUCUUAACACUAUGAAGAUAACAACACUAAGCUUAACAAGCAAACAUUCUGUUGCCAACAGUACCCAUUUGUCAUCCUAUCCAAGCAACUAAUAAUUCUCGGUAAUCUGCAAUCAGAUGAUUACAGUUUUCUCUUUGGCAUUUUUAUGAAUUAAAGCUUUCAAAGCCUAACCUUAGAUUUGGUUGCCAUAACCCUGAACUGCACAUCAACAAAUGUCUGAUGGUCUGUCUGAACUCUAUGAAGAUGGGCUACACAGUGAGGACAAAGUUUUAUUUUCAUUCACCACUCAAAUUUUACAAAAGAAGAAAAUAUUAAAAGCCAUAGGGUAUCAGCUAUCAGCAGUGCACCCCUAUGAUAUACAAGUCUUCAUUGCCAAGUCACUCUGCCAAACGGUGUGUACACCUUCCUUGCAAUGGUAGUGACAGACUUUACUGUACUUCAUUGUCAGGAGUCUGGAUAUGUCAGCCCAAGAAGAUCAAGUUUGUGUCCAAGGUUACUUAGGUAAUUCUCUAAGAACAAUAGACUAAAUGGUCAAUUAAACAUGAGGUCAAGGAAAAAGGAUGAACAUUUCAAGGCUACAGGAGGAACAUUAAACAUCUCUCUCACUGUGAAAAGAUUCUACCGAUCUACAAAUGGUCAAGAUGUUUUAUCUAAAGUUCAUCUGCCAUUUCUUCAAAUGCAGCCAUAGUCAGAAUAAGAUUUUCAUCAUUUUUUCCUAAAGUCAUUUCAGUUGUAAAUUAUUUUGUGCAACAAGUUACCAGAAAAACGUCAAGCAAGAGAGGUCACUACACUAAGACUUUGUCUUCUCAUAAGAAUGGAUUGUUUUCUCAAAAGAAUGGAUAGCUGCCUGGUCAUGUGGUAUGUGCCCUGGACUGUUGUGGGGUCAUCUUGAUGCUCAUAUCUUGCCUGAUGCUAUUUAUUCUGCUGGACAUUUGGUCAAGAAAGUAGAUUCUCUUCAGCUCUCAAGAAACAUUCAAAACAUGUCAAACAUUUGACAAGAAUAUCAAGUGCAGUGUACAUACCAACAUGAUGAAAAGGUAGAUUAACAUGAAGAUGUAGACCAACAUGAAGAUGUAGACCAACAUCAACAUGAAGAUGUAGACCAACAUGAAGAUGUAGACCAACAUGAAGAUGUAGACCAGCAUGAAGAUGUAGACCAACAUGAUGUUGUAGUCCAGCAUGAUGAAGAUGUAGACCAACAUGAAGAUGUAGUCCAGCAUGAUAAAGGUGUAGACCAACAUGAUGUUGUAGUCCAGCAUGAUGAAGAUGUAGACCAACAUGAAGAUGUAGACCAACAUGAAGAUGUAGACCAGCAUGAAGAUGUAGACCAACAUGAUGUUGUAGUCCAGCAUGAUGAAGAUGUAGACCAACAUGAAGAUGUAGUCCAGCAUGAUAAAGGUGUAGACCAACAUGAUGUUGUAGUCCAGCAUGAUGAAGAUAGACAGACAUGAAGAUGAAAUGUAAACCAAACUAUUGAUCAAGAAUAGGGAAUAAAAUGUGAACAUCUUGAGAAGGAAAACAAUUCCUAGAGGCCAAGACACAGACACACCGGAUACAUUAACGAUUGUUUCCUUUUCUACCAUCAUUUAGAGACUUCCUUGUGCUCUAAGGGAACCUGCCAUUAUCUUUUGAUAGCUCAUUGUCGGUGAAGAUGUUUUUACAUACCUAGUGCAUCUGAAAGAAAUGAGCAUUUCCUUAAUGCUACUUCAAAACCAGACCUUCUCAAGACAAUCUUAGUGACCAAGCUGCAGUAGGAAACAAGAAUCCUUCCAACCUCAGGUUGAGUACCCAUGCUCACCUACUAGAGUGGCGACACAGACUUCUACACACACAGUUAUACAUUCUGAACCCUGUAACCCAACCUCACAACAUGGUUACAUUACUAGAAGUUGUCCUGAAGUUAGGAAAACUAACAGAUACAAUGAAUAGAACAAUCAUUUCUUAUACCAGGUACAACUAGUCAAGUGAUGUACUUUGUAAGAACUAAUUAGUUGGAAUUACCAUAAUUGACUUGUAUCUUGUUCUAUAUUUAGGUAUAUCUUGACAAUUAGUCAAGUCAUUUGUUCAAUUAAAAAAAAAAUAUUCCUUUUUUUCCACCUCAAUCUUCUUGUUUCAGUUCGAAAUGUUUUUAUAUUUUUUGUUUUUGGAGGAGGGAAGUUCUAUGGUAUAGUACUGGUACCAUUAUUAUUAUUGUAUUAAGCAAACUUGUAUAUGUAUGUUUAUUCAUGAAUACUAAUGAAGAAUAUCACUUCUGGGUCAUCUACCGAAAAUGUUGUAAACACUAUACACAUAUGUCUUCAGUUAACUUUAGAUAUUCUAUAGAGUCACAACACACAAAGCCUUGCUACAUAUUGCUUAAUUCAAUUUAUUAUCUCCCCUGCUUUUGUGUGCUAUCAUAUUAAUGUUCAUUAGUGUCACAUCCCUGCACAAUUUGUUCUAUGAUUUUUAUAGUGUAAAUAGUGACUUGACAUUAUUUAGCUCUACUAAAAUAUUGUUAUAGUAUUAUAUUUAAGAUAGAACAGUUAACAUUUACUAUGCUGUUAUUAAUAUAAAAGCUUUGCUGUGUUGCUAUAAAUGCGGUGUUGAGGUUGAGUCUAAGGACAUCAGAGAUGAGAAAUGUAGUUAUACUCCCCUUAACAGUUCAAACUAAAAUGUUCCAUAAAUAGUCUAUUCAUAUUUACUAUUUGGUAUUGACAGACUUCACUAAAGCAUUGAGCUCAUCCCCUUAGUCUAUUUAAAACUUUCAAAUACUAAUUCACUUUGUCUUAUCUAUUGGUGAUCAUGGGGUAUGAACACUCACUGUCCUGGUUAGGGCUAGGAUGUAAUCUCUAUUUCUGAUGGAACACAUGUAAAACCAACAGUAGACCUAGACUUUAUUAACAGGUCAUGCAAACAUUUCUUCUUACCUGGCUCUCUCAGAGCUAUUUUUAUGAAUUUUUAUUUUUUACUACUUUUGUAGGCUAGUGCUAAGCUGUAUGCUUGUACUUUUCCCUAUUAUUAUAUGGGUUAGUGCAAUUCUGUUUCCUGUACUGUUGACCAGUGGUCUGUAUGUCAGUUUUAAUUAUUCUGUACCUGGGACUGCCUGUAAGUUUCAGAAUUAUUUUUCUUUUUUUAAUUUUAUUAUGUGUAAAUCUAUUAUCUAAUUUUUUAGCAAUAUAUGUUACAUUAUUUUUCUAAUUGGAACAACUGUCAAAAUAAUUGACAACAUGUUUUAAAAAAUAUGGCCAAGCCACGCCCAGUGCUGUCUUAAUGGCCACUUCUAAUGUUUAUGUACUAUAUUUUGUCCUUAUGUUUUUUUUUUAGCUGCUGUGUUUUGUAACUGCUGCUUUAGUCAUUGAAAUUAAAGUCUCAUUUUUUAAAUUUC
Molecule: long non-coding RNA, 4063 nt
Organism: Biomphalaria glabrata
Lineage: Eukaryota; Metazoa; Mollusca; Gastropoda; Planorbidae
Exons: 12
Source: RefSeq, a predicted model, not a curated record